GAAGUCCACUAGGGGAGCCGUAAGCCGGCUGAGACAAGAAGCGAUCUUGGACCCUUUGAACCUGAUCUAGUUCAUACUAGCGUAGGGAAGUGGAGCCGGUGUCUU
Bacillus licheniformis is the source of this 105-nucleotide regulatory RNA element. It matches the Rfam family "TPP riboswitch aptamer (THI element)". Rfam says of the family: Vitamin B(1) in its active form thiamin pyrophosphate (TPP) is an essential coenzyme that is synthesised by coupling of pyrimidine and thiazole moieties in bacteria. The previously detected thiamin-regulatory element, thi box was extended, resulting in a new, highly conserved RNA secondary structure, the THI element, which is widely distributed in eubacteria and also occurs in some archaea. Analysis of operon structures identified a large number of new candidate thiamin-regulated genes, mostly transporters, in various prokaryotic organisms. Lineage: Bacteria; Bacillati; Bacillota; Bacilli; Caryophanales; Bacillaceae. The record is from Rfam.